RNAcentral lists this ribosomal RNA (520 nucleotides) under uncultured Glomus. Its description in RNAcentral is "SSU rRNA". It matches the Rfam family "Eukaryotic small subunit ribosomal RNA", at positions 569 to 1092 of the family's 1831-position model. Lineage: Eukaryota; Fungi; Glomeromycota; Glomeromycetes; Glomerales; Glomeraceae. The record is from RNAcentral.
AGCAGCCGCGGUAAUUCCAGCUCCAAUAGCGUAUAUUAAAGUUGUUGCAGUUAAAAAGCUCGUAGUUGGAUUUCGGGGUCAGUAGGUUGGUCAUGCCUUCGGUAUGUACUGGUCUCACUGAUUCCUCCCUCUUGAAGAACUGUAAUGUCAUUAAUUUGGUGUUGCGGGGAAACAGGACUGUUACUUUGAAAAAUUAGAGUGUUUAAAGCAGGCUCACGCUUGAAUACAUUAGCAUGGAAUAAUGAAAUAGGACGUUCGAUCCUAUUUUGUUGGUUUCUAGGAUUGACGUAAUGAUUAAUAGGGAUAGUUGGGGGCAUUAGUAUUCAAUUGUCAGAGGUGAAAUUCUUGGAUUUAUUGAAGACUAACUACUGCGAAAGCAUUUGCCAAGGAUGUUUUCAUUAAUCAAGAACGAAAGUUAGGGGAUCGAAGACGAUCAGAUACCGUCGUAGUCUUAACCAUAAACUAUGCCGACUAGGGAUCGGAUGAUGUUAAUUUUUAAUGACUCAUUCGGCGUUUUACG